This 479-nucleotide ribosomal RNA is filed under the name uncultured soil bacterium. Its description in RNAcentral is "bacterial SSU rRNA". It matches the Rfam family "Bacterial small subunit ribosomal RNA", at positions 26 to 501 of the family's 1533-position model. The record is from RNAcentral.
AGAUUGAACGCUGGCGGCAUGCCUUACACAUGCAAGUCGAACGCGAAAGGGGGGGCAACCCCCGAGUAGAGUGGCGAACGGGUGAGUAAUACAUCGGAACGUAUCCAGUAGCGGGGGAUAACCUCUCGAAAGAGAGGCUAAUACCGCAUACGACCUACGGAUGAAAGAGGGGGAUCGCAAGACCUCUCACUAUCGGAGCGGCCGAUGUCGGAUUAGCUAGUUGGCGGGUAACGCCCACAAGGCUACGAUCCGUAGCUGGUCUGAGAGGACGACCAGCCACACUGGAACUGAGACACGGUCCAGACUCCUACGGGAGGCAGCAGUGGGGAAUUUUGGACAAUGGGCGCAAGCCUGAUCCAGCCAUGCCGCGUCGAGUGAAGAAGGCCUUCGGGUUGUAAGCUCGUUUCGGCGUGGACGAAAAGGUCCGUCGUUAACACCACGGAUCCAUGACGUACGAGACAGAAGAAGCACCGGCUAAC